UUGCAGUGAUGACAAUCUUAGGACACCUUUGGAAUUAACUGUGAAAACAAAACUUAAAUCUGAGCAAC
Molecule: small nucleolar RNA, 68 nt
Organism: Paramormyrops kingsleyae
Lineage: Eukaryota; Metazoa; Chordata; Actinopteri; Osteoglossiformes; Mormyridae
Gene: SNORD58
Rfam family: Small nucleolar RNA SNORD58
About the family: snoRNA U58 is found in introns 1, 3 and 6 of the ribosomal protein RPL17 gene in humans. U58 is a member of the C/D class of snoRNA which contain C (UGAUGA) and D (CUGA) box motifs.
Source: Ensembl